RNAcentral lists this ribosomal RNA (229 nucleotides) under uncultured bacterium. Its description in RNAcentral is "partial 16S ribosomal RNA". It matches the Rfam family "Bacterial small subunit ribosomal RNA", at positions 568 to 796 of the family's 1533-position model. The record is from RNAcentral.
UGCGCAGGCGGAAUGAUAAGUCAGUGGUGAAAUCCUACAGCUCAACUGUAGAACUGCCAUUGAUACUGUUGUUCUUGAGUACAGUUGUAGUGGGCGGAAUAUGUCAUGUAGCGGUGAAAUGCAUAGAUAUGACAUAGAACACCGAUCGCGAAGGCAGCUCACUCAGCUGAAACUGACGCUGAGGCACGAAAGCGUGGGGAGCAAACAGGAUUAGAUACCCUGGUAGUCC